Gadus macrocephalus (Pacific cod) is the source of this 1311-nucleotide long non-coding RNA. RefSeq lists it as uncharacterized. Lineage: Eukaryota; Metazoa; Chordata; Actinopteri; Gadiformes; Gadidae. The transcript is spliced from 6 exons. The record is from RefSeq and is a predicted model, not a curated record.
GCUAGAGUCUACGCUACUGGUACAAGAAUUCUACAAGUUUUAUCGUUUGUUUUAAAUAUUGAGUUUCAGCUGAGGCAGAAGACUGUUUGAAUAAUGUUAACAGUCAAAUUUCAAAUGUGUGCUGUUGAAUUCACAGAAUGUUCUACCAUUCUCCUGCAUAACACAUUUUCAAGUGUGUGCAUGGUUCUUAUUUAUUUUUUUAACUUGCAGUGUCUUCUAUUCCUCUACAUUUUACACCAAAAGCCAGUACUUUGGUUCAGAAUGGUUUAAAAGAGGCGUCCAAAGAAUAAUCCCACCCACUGCUCAACUACCACCCCUGUUUGUUACAGACCCGAUGGCCUUGGCUGAUGGAGGAACUGCAUCUUGAGGACGACCAUGAAUCUACCUGCCAACAGGUGGUACUGGUUUGCACUGGUUUGCAUGAACUGAACAUGGUGGACAUGAGGCAAAUUCCCUGCUUUUUGCGCCAGACCAGGACUCUGUGAGGGGUGGUGAUGGAGCCGUGCUGAGGACCCGCUGGUGAAGGACGUCCCUCGGUGGGGGGGCAAGGACAGCCGACCCUGAGGAUCCGCUCGGAUCUACGAUCGCUACGAUGCGACUGCAGAGGUCUCUGGAAGACCAGGAGUCCUUGGCUGAGGAGAGCUGAUGGAGGAGCCGUGCAACCUGGAGAACCAUGAGUCUGCCUGCCAACAAGUGAUGGAGGACCUGCCUGGUGAAGGACCUGCCUGGUGAAGGACGUCAGGGUGGGGCGAGUGACACCCAGUGGACUCCAAGGGGAUAUCCACUGAGGAGAGAGCUGAAGAAGCCAUGCAUCUGGAAGUUGAAAUGCUGUGUCCAGUCUGGGACAGACAGACCUGAGCUGCGUCAAGCCUGUAUCUCUGACCAGCUGGAGUCCCUUAGUGAUCAACAACCGCCACUCAUCGCUGGCCUGUGGAUUCAUCUCCUUCACACUCACACAACAGGACUUUGGCCUGUGGAUUCAUCUCCUCCACACUCACACAACAGGACUUUGGCCUGUGGAUUAAUCUCCUCCACACUCACGCAACGUGACCUUCUCACCAUCUGUUGCACGUUUCGAUGCACCUAGCGUGUUCCAUCGAGGGUUCCUUCCUCCCCACAGUGGGAGGGUUCCUUGUCCUUCAAGGCGUCGGGGUUCAGUGUUAGGGACAGAGUUAGGGACAGAUGGCUGCGCUGGAUUCACGAUACACGCUUUGUGAUCAAAAUGGGUUCGAACAUCGGACAAAUCCCUUCCCAAAAUGUUUCAAUGUGCAAACGAUUUUAUAAAAUGUAUACUCGUGGUGUUUAUAUAAA